This is a long non-coding RNA of Acinonyx jubatus (cheetah), 3111 nucleotides long. RefSeq lists it as uncharacterized. The transcript has 3 exons. The record is from RefSeq and is a predicted model, not a curated record. Lineage: Eukaryota; Metazoa; Chordata; Mammalia; Carnivora; Felidae.
CCGCCAGACCGCGGGCCCAAGCCCCGCCCUCCUCGUGCCCUGGUCUUCAGCAGGCUCAACUCUCCACCUCAGCACGCGCCGCCACCCGCGGCCGCCUCGGCGCCAGCCCUGGGGUGGCGCCUGAGGGUACUGGGGUCCCGCGGCGCUGCCGGCUCCGCCUCGCUCGCGGCCCGCCGCCGCCUGCCGCGUGAGGUUGCCAGUAGGAGCCCACCGCGCUCAGAGGCCAGACUUGUGCGCAUCUCCGGGUGCCCGCGCGCCGUGCACCUCAGGGACCCCCACUGUUGGAGGGGGGACACGGGGGUUAAUUAUCCCCGGACAUUCCUAGUGUACAGCAUGAUCCGCGCGAGGGAAGUGCGGCCCGGGACCCCUCGGGGACAGGGUGCCUAAUCCCCUUCUUGAAGGGACAGAGACUCCGGUCAGCCCCCGCGUGCCAGAUCUUCGGAGGAGUCUCUAUGCUGACGAGCGUGUUAGCAGUCGGGAUGACUGAUGGAGCCGGGGCCCGGCACCCUUCGCGGCGCCAGGCCGAGGGGAGGCCGGACGUUGGCUUCCCUUUUCACCCCUGAGGAAGUCGGGGCUUUAACCCCGUGCACUGCCAACCCGAGGACCAAAGGAGGGCCACCCAGGUGGGCCUGGCUGCCACUUCCCGGUCUGGUGGCGCCGAAAUGAUGUCAUCUCCACUAGUCUCUACUUCGCAACUUAAGAUCGUCCUUUGAUUAUUGACCAAAACUGAGGAAACUGAGGCCGAGGGAGGGGGCCCGCUUGCCCAGUGAAGUUUCUCCUGAGAGGCGCCAGAGGAGCUGCCUGGAAACGAGGUGCAUGCCUUUGAAUCUGGACCAGGCCAUGUGACUUCCCUUUACCAACAGAAUGAGGUGGAAGCGACCAGGUGCCAUUUCCAAGCUCAGGCUUCCUGACACCUUGCAUGUCUCCUUUUGUACUCCGUGCUUCUGCCAUUGCCAUGAUCAAGACACCACCCAUGUUGGCCCGGUGGUCCCGAGAGGAAGAAAAGAGACUCAUGAAGAGCCAGAUUGCCUCAGCAAAGGUCCACCAAAACCAUCCCCCAGCUGAACUCAGAUGGGAGAGAGAGACAGAGUGUGAGCAGGAGAGGGGCAGAGAGAGAGAAGGAGACACAGAAUCUGAAGGAGGCUCCAGGCUCUGAGCUGUCAGCACAGAGCCCAACGAGGGGCUCGAACUCACAAACCGCGAGAUCAUGACCUGUGCCGAAGUAGGACGCCUAACCGACUGAGCCACCCAGGUGCCCCAUUAUCAUUUUAAUAUACUUCUGAAUUUUAUUUGCUAUUGCCUUAUUUAGGAUUUUAAAAAAUCUGUGGGCAAGCAUGCUGUAUUGUGACACUUCCAUUAGGCUUGGGACUCAGGGAUAUGCUGGGUUUGUACAAAGGGUUGGGAAGAUUUCCAUAUUUAUCUUUGGUCUGGAACUGUUUAAAUAGCAUGGGAAUUAUUUGUUUCUCAAAGGUUUAAAGAAAUUUGCUCAUAAAACAGUGUGAGCUCUUGACCUUAUUUGGUAAUGGUUCCUUAAUAAUUGUGUUGUCUCUUUCCAUAGUUUUUUAUUUUCUUUCUUCAGUUAACUUUGUGAACUUAUAUUUUCUUACAAAAUUAUCAAUUUCUCCCAGUUUUAAAGAUAUUUAGCAUAGAUAAAUACAUAUCACACAUACAUAGCAUAGCAUAAUGUCCUCUUAUAACUGCAAAAUCUCGUAAGUAUCUGGUUCUGUCACCCUUCCAAACUUUAAUGCCACAUUUUCUGUUUUCCCUUUUUUAUCUUGAUUACUUUUUCCUGAAGUAUGUAUAAUUUACUGGACUUUUGGAAGAAACCGCUCUGGGUUUUAUUAAUCCCUCUAUUGGGUUCUUGUUCCUGAAUGUGUUCAGUUUUAUUUUAAUCUUUAUUGCUUUCUUCUUCUUAUUUUUCACAUUUAUUUUGCUGCUUUUUUUCCCUGACUUCUUGAGUUAAAUGCUUAGAUGGCUAAUUUUUAUUGUUUCUUUUUAAAAUAUAUAAUUAAAUUUUCUCUGAGGACAACAUAAUUAACUGUAAUUUUUAAUAUAUAUUUUCAUUUUUCUUAUUUCCUUAUAUGGAAUAUACCUUAUUUCUAAUUUUUUUUCUAUUCAAAAUUUCUAAUUUGAAAUUAUUAAAUCCUUUGUGGGGUGUCUGGGUGGCUCAGUUAGUUGAAUGUCAGACUCUUGAUUUCGGCUCAGGUCAUGAUCUCAUGGUCUUGGAAUCGAGCCCUGCACUGGGCUCCACACUGGGCAUGGAGCCUGCUUAAGAUUCUCUUUCUCUCUUCUUCUCUCUUCAAUAAAUAAAUAAAUAAAUAAAUAAAUAAAUAAAUAAAUAGUAAUAGGGACUCCCUAUCAAUUUGGCUGAAGCCCCCAAACCUGGGAAUGAAACCCCACAUUCUGAAGUGAAAAGCCAGACCAUCUCUAUAGGUCUUGCUAAGGAAGAAUCUGGAAACCGAGUUUUACCAUCUUAACCCCAUAUCCACCUCAAGUUUAUAAAAGGGUUGACAGUGAAGAGUCUGUGGGAGAACAUUUCUCUGAGAAAGUUGUCGGAGGCCUUUACCCUUCCCUCACCUGGGAGAGGCUGGGAAUGCUUCCCUCUCAUCUCCAUAUGUGUCUCGUAGAGUCUGGGAACAGUGGUCUAGGAAUGACUGACUACUGGAAAAUUCAAAGGCCUGAGGCCAAGGCCAUCCACUUGAGGGGGCAGAAAGAAAGAAGACUGCAUAGAGAAUGAGUCACACUUCUGCCAAGGGAUCAAAGUGGGUCUCAUGGACCUACAGUGGGUCACACGGGGAGGCUGGACCUGGGCCAUCUUGAUAAGGACUUUGCCCCAGAAGUCCACUUGGAGGGUUGAUGAACCCAACAAAGAUAAUGUGAGGGAAAGGGACCUCUAGACAGCCCAGGGAUCGGGGUUGGGGUCAGUUGGAAUUAGUUGGAUAUCUAAGUUACCAGACAGAGACAAGUUUUAUCUGUCCUGGAGAUUAUAACUGCAGGGUCCCAGGUGGGGAGAUUUCUGUGAAACCCACAAAAGUGCCAGGGAACACAAACACUAACCCUAGCAGCACCAGCCACAUCAGAUUGUGCAAUUGCCCCUGACACUGGCUGCCU